UGGGGAAUAUUGCACAAUGGGCGCAAGCCUGAUGCAGCCAUGCCGCGUGUAUGAAGAAGGCCUUCGGGUUGUAAAGUACUUUCAGCGGGGAGGAAGGCGAUAAGGUUAAUAACCUUGUCGAUUGACGUUACCCGCAGAAGAAGCACCGGCUAACUCCGUGCCAGCAGCCGCGGUAAUACGGAGGGUGCAAGCGUUAAUCGGAAUUACUGGGCGUAAAGCGCACGCAGGCGGUCUGUCAAGUCGGAUGUGAAAUCCCCGGGCUCAACCUGGGAACUGCAUUUGAAACUGGCAGGCUAGAGUCUUGUAGAGGGGGGUAGAAUUCCAGGUGUAGCGGUGAAAUGCGUAGAGAUCUGGAGGAAUACCGGUGGCGAAGGCGGCCCCCUGGACAAAGACUGACGCUCAGUUGCGAAAUCGUGGGGAGCAAACA
This 427-nucleotide ribosomal RNA is filed under the name uncultured bacterium. Its description in RNAcentral is "partial 16S ribosomal RNA". It matches the Rfam family "Bacterial small subunit ribosomal RNA", at positions 355 to 774 of the family's 1533-position model. The record is from RNAcentral.